GUCGAACGAUGAACCAGCUUGCUGGUGGAUUAGUGGCGAACGGGUGAGUAACACGUGAGUAACCUGCCCUUGACUCUGGGAUAAGCCUGGGAAACUGGGUCUAAUACCGGAUAUGACCUUCCAUCGCAUGGUGGUUGGUGGAAAGCUUUUGUGGUUUUGGAUGGACUCGCGGCCUAUCAGCUUGUUGGUGGGGUAAUGGCCUACCAAGGCGACGACGGGUAGCCGGCCUGAGAGGGUGACCGGCCACACUGGGACUGAGACACGGCCCAGACUCCUACGGGAGGCAGCAGUGGGGAAUAUUGCACAAUGGGCGAAAGCCUGAUGCAGCGACGCCGCGUGAGGGAUGACGGCCUUCGGGUUGUAAACCUCUUUCAGUAGGGAAGAAGCCGCAAGGUGACGGUACCUGCAGAAGAAGCGCCGGCUAACUACGUGCCAGCAGCCGCGGUAAUACGUAGGGCGCAAGCGUUAUCCGGAAUUAUUGGGCGUAAAGAGCUCGUAGGCGGUUUGUCGCGUCUGCCGUGAAAGUCCGGGGCUCAACUCCGGAUCUGCGGUGGGUACGGGCAGACUAGAGUGAUGUAGGGGAGACUGGAAUUCCUGGUGUAGCGGU
RNAcentral lists this ribosomal RNA (607 nucleotides) under bacterium 87-L049616-122-011-G11. RNAcentral describes it as "bacterial SSU rRNA". It matches the Rfam family "Bacterial small subunit ribosomal RNA", at positions 61 to 682 of the family's 1533-position model. The record is from RNAcentral.